CGGCGAGUGAAGCGGCAUCAGCUCAAAUUUGAAAUCUGGCGUCUUCGGCGUCCGAGUUGUAAUUUGUAGAGAGUGUCUCGGGUGGAGCACCGGUCCAAGUCCCUUGGAACAGGAUAUCAUAGAGGGUGAGAAUCCCGUAUCCGGCCGGCCCCCUCCCCCGCUGUGAGACCUCUUCGACGAGUCGAGUUGUUUGGGAAUGCAGCUCUAAAUUGGAGGUAAAUUCCUUCUAAAGCUAAAUACUGGCCAGAGACCGAUAGCGCACAAGUAGAGUGAUCGAAAGAUGAAAAGCACUUUGAAAAGAGAGUCAAACAGUACGUGAAAUUGUUGAAAGGGAAGCGUAUGCGGCCAGACUUGUCCCCAGUUGCUCAGCCCGUCUUUUGGCGGGUGUACUCUUCUGGGGCCAGGCCAGCAUCGGUUUGGGCGGUCGGAUAAAGACGUUAGGAAUGUGGCCCCUCUCGGGGGGUGUUAUAGCCUGGCGUGCAAUGCGAUC
This 490-nucleotide ribosomal RNA is filed under the name Pseudosigmoidea excentrica. RNAcentral's name for it is "eukaryotic LSU rRNA". It matches the Rfam family "Eukaryotic large subunit ribosomal RNA", at positions 87 to 580 of the family's 3401-position model. Lineage: Eukaryota; Fungi; Ascomycota; Dothideomycetes; Venturiales; Sympoventuriaceae. The record is from RNAcentral.